UGAGGGAUCUUGCACAAUGGGGGCAACCCUGAUGCAGCGACGCCGCGUGGGCGAUGAAGGUCUUCGGAUCGUAAAGCCCUUUUCCAGGUGACGAGUAAGGACGGUAGCCUGGGAAGAAGUCUCGGCUAACUACGUGCCAGCAGCCGCGGUAAAACGUAGGAGGCGAGCGUUAUCCGGAGUUACUGGGCGUAAAGCGCAAGCAGGCGGUUGGGCAAGUUGGGUGUGAAAGCGUGCGGCUAAACUGCACGAGGCCAUUCAAGACUGCCCGGCUGGAGGACGGUAGAGGGGCGCAGAAUUCGGGGUGUAGCGGUGAAAUGUGUAGA
RNAcentral lists this ribosomal RNA (323 nucleotides) under uncultured bacterium. Its description in RNAcentral is "bacterial SSU rRNA". It matches the Rfam family "Bacterial small subunit ribosomal RNA", at positions 355 to 694 of the family's 1533-position model. The record is from RNAcentral.